GACUGAUCGUCACUCUGUUUGGAGCUGCUCUUCUCUGAGGACACGAACACGGUGAACAGUGGGACUUGUCUUCAGCUUCAGGUGGAACAGCUCUGACCUGUAUGGUGAUCAGACCCGGAGAGGAGAGACACCUGGUCCAACAAGGUGACGGACGAGCAGCUGAGACGAAUAAGACGAGCCGCCACAGGACCUGAAGCAGGAAAAAUGAGUAUCGUCUUCUGAUGAAACUCCUUCAGGUCGUGCAGUUGUUUGUUGACUCUGGUUUCACCUGCUCAGACAGUGAGCACUGUUGUCUUUGCUGGUUCUUUACAUAAUAAAACCUUUUUUUGAAUUACACUCUGUUGUGGUUUUUAUAGAUUUUUAAAGAAGGUGUUGAGUCUUUUGAUGGAGUCCAAUUUCUCCUCUCAGUGGCAUUUUCAAAGCUUUAACUAUAUUUGAUGUAUACAUUUUCUUUCUGUAGUGGAGAGCAGGGCUUCCAUUACCUUCAGUAUCUAUUCCUAUAUUAGAAACCAUGUGUUGUUUAAUAAUGUCUGAGUAAGUUAGCCUCU
RNAcentral lists this long non-coding RNA (548 nucleotides) under Sparus aurata (gilthead seabream). RNAcentral describes it as "lncRNA (ENSSAUG00010012616.1)". The record is from RNAcentral. Lineage: Eukaryota; Metazoa; Chordata; Actinopteri; Spariformes; Sparidae.